Molecule: ribosomal RNA, 253 nt
Filed under: uncultured bacterium
Lineage: Bacteria
Description: partial 16S ribosomal RNA
Rfam family: Bacterial small subunit ribosomal RNA
Source: RNAcentral
UACGUAGGGUGCAAGCGUUAUCCGGAAUUAUUGGGCGUAAAGAGCUCGUAGGCGGUUUGUCGCGUCGAAUGUGAAAACCCGGGGCUCAACUCCGGGCCUGCAUUCGAUACGGGCAGACUAGAGUUCGGUAGGGGAGUCUGGAAUUCCUGGUGUAGCGGUGAAAUGCGCAGAUAUCAGGAGGAACACCGGUGGCGAAGGCGGGACUCUGGGCCGAUACUGACGCUGAGGAGCGAAAGCGUGGGGAGCGAACAGG